Taeniopygia guttata (zebra finch) is the source of this 3389-nucleotide non-coding RNA. Lineage: Eukaryota; Metazoa; Chordata; Aves; Passeriformes; Estrildidae. The record is from RefSeq and is a predicted model, not a curated record.
GCCGGGCACCGGGGACAGGGCCCACCGGGACAGGGCCGGGCACCGGGGACACGCACAUCACGGGGCACGGCUCCGGGACUUGUGCAUGUCAGGCUCUCCCGGCCGUGUGCGGGGUAUGCGGCCGAAUGCCCGCUGGGCAAUUCCCUCGCUGCAGGGUUUCCUUUGGCCUCCUCCAGCAGCGCCGGGCACAACAGGUUUGCAGAGUGGGGAUCAGCCCAGCAGGCAAUUAUGCAGGAGAUAAUGUGUAAAGUAAAUAAUGACAGGACACUUUGCUGAUAAAUUAGGGCUGGGUUUUUACCCUGCUAGCCUAGGUCCCAUUUAAAGGCAAGCCUUUCCUCUUGUGCCCUCGGUGCCUUGAUGGUCUCAUGGUGCCAGUGAGGGCAGGAGCAGCGCCCCAGAGCAGGAGAGGAGCAAACGUGCCCGUCCAAGCCCCGACCUGGAGAGUGGUGAAGUGAUCCAAGACCAAAACCAGAUUAAAUCAAUUAUGCCCACCUUUGAGCUGUGGACUGGGAAAAACCCCAAAUCUGGUUCUCUUUCAGUUCCCACAGAGCUCAUAAAUUCACUUUUAAGCCUUCCCAGUGAAAAAAGAAACUGAUCCUUGUAUGGUGGAGAACUCGGGGGGGAUCCACAGGUGCCUAUCAGUGCACACAUAAAGUGAGAAAAAAUCCCUGAGGGUUGUUGCGGGACUCCAAGGAGUCCUGGAGCAAAUGUGUUCUGAAAACAUUCUGUGUUCUAGUGAAAUGUGUUCUAGUGAAACAUUCGAGCAAGUUGGCUUUGUGUCAUGUGAUGGAGGAGAUUUCUCCCAGGCCCAGUGUUUGAAAAUUUUGUCUUGGAUCAUUUUGUGUUUUAAGACUAAAUAACCUUGAUUACACAUUUCUAUUUCAGUAAUUACUGAAAAAGUCGUGGUUAUCAUAUAUUUAUGUCUUUGCAACCUGGAGGCUGGGAGGGACAAAGAGGGAGUCACUCACUGGCAAUAACUGUUGCACAUUUUCAGAACAUAAUGAAAAUUACUUUGGUCUUCUGCUUUUAAGAUGGACACCUGCUAGUAAACUGUAGGCAGACUGAUUAAACAGUGCUGCCAAGUCCAUACCUGGAGUAGGGAAUGCCUCUUCCUCACUCCUUCUGCAUUUAUGUGUUGGACUGGGACUGAAAAUACAUUUCACAGCUAAAAUUGAGAUGGCUAAGGUUGUACAAAUGGUUAUUUGUUAUUUCAGCUACUGGGUCCAUGGACACAUACAGUUAAAGUUCAAAAUCCAUGAAAAGACAUAUUCACAGGGUUUGUGAAAAAUGAGACGGUUUUCCUUCCCUUAAUGACAGGGAUCUCAAAUGAGUUGGGUUGUCAAUGGGAGAGCAAGAGGUUAUAUAGUUUUCCAUAAUCUAUAAAGCUUCUUCAGAAUCAUGUCAUUAGCUUUCCUGUGGUAGAGCACAGCAGAGCUAAUAAUGCAAUUAUGGUUCAUGUAGUUAAACUAUGCUACUGAUAUUUUUUUUUCCCAGGAGGCCUUCAUUUCUGGCAAUUCUAAUCAUCUUCAUUGUACAGCUGUAUGGAUUCCAUGUUUCACUCUGAGGGAAAUAAAAUUGCAAAUAAAUACCAUCCUUCCUAAUGUCUCUGUAAAUGCCAGAUUUAGUAACCAUUAACCAAAUGUUGGAGUUCAUAAAAUGUAAUGUAUAGUUCUGUGUGUGUAUAUAUAUAUAUACACACACACAUAUAUAUAUAUAUAUAUAUGCCACACUCAUAUACUAGUCACUAGAACGAACUAUUGUGCCAGAAUAAACAAGAGUAGAAUUUCUCCCAGUAUUUCAUUAUUCUCAUUUCUUGCUGCUAUAAUUAAUACAUUUUCUGUUUUUGACAUGCUAAGUUUCUCCCUGGCUUUCUCCCUGCCUGUAUUCAAAUCGUAUAAUUACUACAUUAAAAUGGUGUGUGUGUGUUUAGCAGGAGGGGGAUUCUUUUUUUUAACUUCCCAUUGUUUUGAACAAAUUUGAAACUUGGAGUUCUGUAUUUGGUUACCUGAUGCUCAAGAAAUAGGAGAGCUGGUGAGUCUAUUAUUAAGCAUUAUUUUAGUACUCCUAUUAAUGAUAAAUUACUUUAAAAAAUCUAUCUGCCAGUCCCCACUAGAACAAAAAUAUCAAUCCUGAGAUAUUGAAACCCUAAUUAAAAAACAUAAAAUAUGAAAUAAGGAUAUUUCCUGCUUCUGUGGUUUCAGUCUUCCAUGAUUCAGAUUCUUCUGAGAAGAUAAAAUUUUAGAGCAGUGAAUCUCUGAAAGCACUGCCCUGUUUUCUUCUGUAGAGAGGAAAGUUUCUCUAAACUUCUAUAUUUUUCUGAGUAAACUACCAAACACAUUACAAAGCCUUUCAAAAAGAUGCACAAUAAAGUGAUGAUAAGGCAUGUUAAUAAUUCUGCUGACAAUCAUCCUUCAUGCCUGGGACAUAAACAGUAGGAAAUAAAUACCGUCAAUAAUUGCUAUUAGGCACCUGAAGAAAAAACAAAGAUAUGAGAGGGACAUGCUAAUUAGGCUUCCUCGAUGGACCACAUGGAGAUGAAAAGGAGAUGAAAAUCAAAAUAAAGCAAGCAAAGCUGAAGUAUUUAGACAGCCUUGCAGGAAGUUGUUGUCUAUGACAAUGAACUGUCCAUGGUUGUAAAGCCCUUAGAGACAAUAUCUCAGACAGUAGCUGUCAUUUUCCUGCAUACAUCAGAGGCAGGGUAGCACCAGGGUGUCACUUUGGGAUCUCGUGGGAUAUACAACAGAACUCAUCAAUCCUAAGGGAGCUGAGAUGCGGAGACAGCAGGACCAAAUCCCUACCAGAGCAUCUUUUUAUGGGAAGAAAGCAGCUCCUGCCAUUCCCCUCUCUGUGAGUGCUGAGAGAGGAACUGUGCAGCCAUGGCAGGUUGGUUAGAGAAGUUCACAUGGCUUUUCCAUUACAGCACAUACUUUUAAGUUGUUCACCUAUUUCUACAAAUCCUGUUCUUGGUAAUUGUCUUUCUGUUACACAGUAACUGUCUUGGCUUCUGUACAUCUGUAAAACAUUGAAAAUGUUCAGCCUGGGAGUUUGAAAGCAAAAUGCUGUCAAGACAUACUAAUUAGAAAAAUUGUGCACACACAACCUCCUAGUGUUCACUUUUGCUCUCAUUUGUUUUACAGAUGGUGCUAGGUCAAAGAAGCAGCCUGUCUUUGCAGGACAAGCAAUUCUGAAGUUCUGAGCAACUCUACAUUUUCAUGCAUGCACAAGUUUUCUCCUUAGCUUUUUUUGCUUACCUAAUCACACUGGUGAUUUGCUAGUAUUUCCCUCUUCUCUCUUACUUCAUAUAACAGGCAAUCUGCAAAGUGAUUUGCAGGAAUCGAAAGUACAAAUUUGUUGCUUUCAGGAUCAAGAAUAAAUGGAAAAACUUGUGA